Molecule: small nuclear RNA, 196 nt
Organism: Rattus norvegicus (Norway rat)
Lineage: Eukaryota; Metazoa; Chordata; Mammalia; Rodentia; Muridae
Product: U2 spliceosomal RNA
Source: Ensembl
AUCGCUUCUCGGCCUUUUGGCUAAGAUCAAGUGUAGUAUUCGGUCGUUACCUGUGAAAAUUUGCAUUAUCAAGCUAAUAAGUUUUAAGUGUUUAUCUUCAUCAACUCCUAAAGUAACCAAUGGCAACAACAGCAUAGGUUUCUUUUUUUCUAGAAACAUUGAUCUGGUUGCACAAGUCAGAAUUAGUUGAGUCAUC